Molecule: long non-coding RNA, 473 nt
Filed under: Homo sapiens (human)
Lineage: Eukaryota; Metazoa; Chordata; Mammalia; Primates; Hominidae
Description: non-protein coding lnc-ZNF649-3:3
Source: RNAcentral
GCGUCUGCAGUGUGUGGGGUUCGCGGGGCGGCGGGUAGAGGCGAGUGUUUAGAGACUUCGGGUCCCUGACUCGCCUCCAGCAGUGGAGACAGGUCAUCGGUCUGGUCUGCGUGGGCUUCUGGGAAUGUUUCAGGGGCAGGGAGAGCGCGCUUUUUUUUUUCUGUUGUUCGCUAGCGCGUGAGUUGAGCAUUUUUGUCAUCUGCAAAUAAUUUUAGCCAGGUGGCAAGUGUAUGGACUGUGGAGUAAGAAGUACCUGCCUCUGCCUCUGACUUGGGUUCUGGCCUAUAGGAACAAGACAUUUUCAGUAAUGGAAGAAGGAGCUUCCAGGCUGGGGAAGAUCAUCAUUUCCAGUGGUAGCUUGACCUGAGAUGAUACCUGACCACCACUUCUGGGAAGGCCCAGAAUAGACAGAAGAGAGAGAACAUACUAGAGUUGCUAGCCCCUAAGAGUUGAACGAAAUGGGCAAGGCCCAG